RNAcentral lists this ribosomal RNA (498 nucleotides) under uncultured bacterium. RNAcentral's name for it is "partial 16S ribosomal RNA". It matches the Rfam family "Bacterial small subunit ribosomal RNA", at positions 28 to 523 of the family's 1533-position model. The record is from RNAcentral.
GAUGAACGCUAGCGGCAGGCCUAAUACAUGCAAGUCGAGGGAGAAUGUUGGAUUCGUCUGACAUGAAACCGGCGCACGGGUGCGUAACACGUAUGCAACCUACCUUUAACUGGGGUAUAGCUCAGAGAAAUCUGAAUUAAUCCCCCAUAAGACUACGACAUGGCACCAUGAUGUAGUUAAAGCUCCGGCGGUUAAGGAUGGGCAUGCGGUACAUUAGCUAGUUGGUGAGGUAAUGGCUCACCAAGGCUACGAUGUAUAGGGGGUCUGAGAGGAUGAUCCCCCACACUGGUACUGAGGCACGGACCAGACUCCUACGGGAGGCAGCAGUAGGGAAUAUUGGUCAAUGGACGCAAGUCUGAACCAGCCAUGCCGCGUGAAGGAUGAAGGCCCUAUGGGUCGUAAACUUCUUUUAUUAGGGAAGAAAAAACGGGAUGCGUCCUGUACUGACGGUACUUAAUGAAUAAGGAUCGGCUAACUUCGUGCCAGCAGCCGCCGUAA